This 429-nucleotide ribosomal RNA is filed under the name bacterium. RNAcentral's name for it is "partial 16S ribosomal RNA". It matches the Rfam family "Bacterial small subunit ribosomal RNA", at positions 355 to 776 of the family's 1533-position model. The record is from RNAcentral.
UAGGGAAUCUUCGGCAAUGGGGGCAACCCUGACCGAGCAACGCCGCGUGAGUGAAGAAGGUUUUCGGAUCGUAAAGCUCUGUUGUAAGAGAAGAACGUGUGUGAGAGUGGAAAGUUCACACAGUGACGGUAACUUACCAGAAAGGGACGGCUAACUACGUGCCAGCAGCCGCGGUAAUACGUAGGUCCCGAGCGUUGUCCGGAUUUAUUGGGCGUAAAGCGAGCGCAGGCGGUUUAAUAAGUCUGAAGUUAAAGGCAGUGGCUUAACCAUUGGUCGCUUUGGAAACUGUUAAACUUGAGUGCAGAAGGGGAGAGUGGAAUUCCAUGUGUAGCGGUUAAAUGCGUAGAUAUAUGGAGGAACACCGGUAGCGAAAGCGGCUCUCUGGUCUGUAACUGACGCUGAGGCUCGAAAGCGUGGGGAGCAAACAGG